UGAAGCUGCUUUUGGAAGCGGGAGGGGUGAUGUAAUCCCAGCAGGGUUUGAAGGAGAGACAUUAGCAAAAGCUCGGGGAGAGUCCUGGCCUGGGCUUGGCUGAGAGGCUUGGUUAAAAGAGGGGAGCAGUUUUCCUGGGAAGGAAAACAAAGGAGAUAGACCAGGGAAAGGACCUCCCCAUGGCCUCCCCUCCUAGAGCCCCUGGCAGAGCCCUGUAGAGGUAGCAGGAGAGGCUGCACCAAGACUGCUGCACUGUGUCCUUCUUCUCCCUCCUUUCCUCCUUGGAGCCCUGCCGGGGCAGGAAAAGAGAGGAGCUGCCUGUGAGGAGACUCUGAGCCUGGGAAGACCCUCCUGCAAGCCCGUGUGUGGCUGGGUUCCAGGCAUGACUAAAAGCUGUAGUGCCAAAAUACCAUGAGAGAGGCUGCUCCUGCAAAAUUUCUGGCUUUACCAGAAGGAGGAAAAUCUCAUGAAAGAAUCUGCUUGUGUUUUCUUUCCAGCCCUGCUUGGCAAGGUAAAAGAUCAAUGUGAGGAUAGUGCAUUUCAAAAGUAACUCCUACAAGGAUAUGGCAGCAUCAGUCCUUCAACCUCCAGCAAUGCAACAUAAUAUCAAGAAGCACCACCAAAGACAAGUCAUCCACCCAAGAAUGAUGUACAGACUCUGUACACUCCACAUCUGCAGUUACCAAACUGGGGAUCCAAGCAUACAGGAUGCUCUAAAUUGUUCUCUCUAUGUGGAUACUGAUAACUUCAAUAAUUCUCCAUAAUGCAACUUAAUGGACUCAUUCUAAAACACCUGCCUCCAGAGCAGUACAUCAAAGAGACUCAGACCCCACCGGAACUCUGAUUCCAUUAUGGACAGGUCAUCAAAGCAGGAAGUGGUGAAGAUCUUACAGAGGAAAUUGUUUUUGAGGGGGAGCACCAAAAGGAGAGAAAGGGUCUGCAAUUUGUGAAAUGGACUGAUACAUAUAUUUAGCCUAGAAAGCAGAAAUAGCUACUCCAGAUUUGGAAAAAUUCAGCAGUAGGAAAGUAGGGUAAGGUCCAGUUCCGCAGGACACUAGCAUGUUACGCCAGGUGAGAGACAGGGUUUACAAAGCGCUAUAGAGAGAUUUUCGCCCAUGAGGGCAAGUUACUUUCUUUUGAUUUUUCUUGCUGUUGUUGUUCCUUGUUCAUCUUUCUGUUCCUUUUAGAGAUCUGCUAUGGCUCCGCCUUCCAAGAAGCAUAAAACUUGUCAGUCAUUCAUGGCUACAUGAGGUCAUGUUGCACACUACACUACUGUCUGAGUACUCCUUGAACUACUUAAACUCAGGAAGAAAAACAAAGCAAAGUAGUUAUCCUUAACCUUACUAAGAGGAAGGAAUACAAGGGAUGAUGGGCAGAAAAAGGAGAAUACUGGAGAAAGUGGGCUUACCCUGCAACUGCAGUGAUGAAGUGUAGGAGGCUCAGACCAUUAAGGGGAAGAGGAAGGAAGUCUAGCUUGUGAAGGAUAACAAAACUAUAAAGAGAUAAAAGCAUGGGUACCCACCCAUGUCUUCAUCCCUCUUCAAACCUCUUCAAGUCCUCCCUAAGGAGCUGCUAAAAACAACCUGAACAAAUACGAAUGUAGGCUCUUGAGAGCCCCCAGGAUAUAGAACACACACAGCUUUUGAACGCACAACCCAGAAUGAAUGCCCCAAUUUGGUUCAGGGUGGUAGUCCUCCAGAGAGGAAAGAUUAUGCAGCGAUCAGAGGAUUAUCUACACCCAGAUCACCUAUGUAAAUUCUUUCUGGAUUGGACUCUCAUUCACUGAAGCCCUCAAGUAAAUUAGUCUGCUUCCUUUCUCUGCAUCUUCUAUAUAUUUGUAUCAUUCUCUAUUUCUUUCCAUUAUUUCUGUGAUGCAACAAUGUUAGUCAAAAGAGAAGCUGAGAAACGGAAGUAAGAAUGAAAAUACAUAACAUUUUCUUAUACGGGGACUGGAAUCUUCUGUGGGUUGUAGGCAGAGCCACUGCCAGCAUGACACGUCAUCAAAAGGAGAAUGGAGAGAUAGCAGCUAUGUGAGAGAACAAAACUACAUCCAUUUCUGGCGCCUGUAACUAAAACAGGUGUUCGUGAAUUGGAGACGUUUAGGAAAGAGCCAUGAAAACCAUUAAAGCACUAGAAAAACCUGCAUCAUGGUGUGAUAAGAGAUCCUAAAAUGAGAGAAAGUUGAGAGUAACUUACAGAUUUUAAUGAUCUAUACUGCACACACAAAUUUGAUAACAGAGGGCUCUUUAAUUUACAUAUUAAAGUCAUAACAAGACGAAGUCACUGGAAGCUGAAACCAGAUAAAUUUAGGCAUAAAUGAGUUAAAAAUCAUGAACAGUUAAAUGAGAUAAAAACCUUUAGCUGUGAGAAUAAUCCACUGGAACAGCUUCCUAAGGGUCAGAGUGGAUUCCCCUGCACUGUAAAUUUCAAAUCAAGUUUGAUUUUUACAUAUUUUUUAAGAUAUGCUCUUGUUCAGCUCUGUUAGCAGUAUGACUAGCUAGGGAAAGCCUUUCUAUUUAAUCCACAGUGAGACUGCCACCCCAAAUUAGGCAAGUGUAAAUCACAAAUAUGCAGAAUAGAUGGAGAAAGGUCUGAAAAGGAACAGAGCAUUAGUUAUUGACUGUUUCUAAAACGGUAUGUGUGCUUGUACCUCCAGAAGCCUGCUUUUCAAUCUUUGGUCUCAGUCAAGACAGAAAGUAUUAUAUUUACACCUUCAGUCUUGAUUCAGAAAAGACCAAAAGAAUGGCACUUCUUAAAAAUUGUAAAUAGCUGUAUUUAAUGCAGCAUUUUGUUAGAAAGCACAAGAUUCAGGAGGUGGUUUACAUAGCCAAUACUCCUACUGAUAUAAAAUGGGCAUAUUAGCUGUACAAUUUUGUAUGAGGCUUCCUUCACAGGAGUAGCACCAAAACUAUAUUUAUGCAGCAUCUUUCACCUGGGAUCUCAAAACACUUCAUAAGCUGCAUACAUAUGGCACUUUUUGCAUAGAGCCAUCUGGAGGAUGGUGGUUAUCAGUAAUGGCUAACUACAAGUACAAAGCACUGUGUUUUCUAGGGCUCCCAACUAAAAUGGAACCACCUGAGUUUUUCUCUUUGUCAUGCAAACAACUAACAUAGAGCAUAUAUCCUUUCAGGGGUGCAACACAUUUGACUUGAGCUUAACCAUGACUAUAUCAUCAAAAUGAACCGGUCCUGUGAGGUUUGUCGGUCACCUGUUUUAAUGCUGAGAAGGGUAUAUAUAAAAAUCUAGGGAGAGCUUCUGAGGUAAAAAAUUGGGGAGGGGGAGGAGGAGAGGGAAGCAGAAGCAGCUGUCUGGGGGAAGGCAGAAUUUGAAAAUCUGACCCCUGUGAUUUCAUUUAAAAAUGAACUAGUUGAAACUGGCUGCUUGCAGCAUCAAAAUUGUAAUGUAAGGAUUGUUUCUUUUUACAGAAGCUUGCCAACUCUGUUUGAAUCUAUUCUGGGAGGUUUCCGGAAAGCCAACGUGCCUGCGACACAACGUGAAUGUGCCCACAUGCUUGUCUAUAUGUUAUGGAUUACAGUGCGUAGACUUUACAUCAGGAAGGCAAAUACACAUUACUAUUACAUUUUAAAAACACACUGGAGUACUCUAUAAAUUAGAUUCAACAUUUAGGAUUUAUUUUAAUUAAUGCCCUAUCAUUUAUCUCCCAGUUGACUCUCAGCAGUCUCCUGGAGAUUCAUAUCUAAUUCUUGGAGACUCCAGGGCAAUCCUGGAGGGUUGGAAACCCUAACAGGAAGGCUGUUAAAAUGCAAACCCCAGUGCUGUGGUUAUGACUUAAAAUUUAAAACUAA
Molecule: long non-coding RNA, 3806 nt
Organism: Alligator mississippiensis (American alligator)
Lineage: Eukaryota; Metazoa; Chordata; Crocodylia; Alligatoridae
Exons: 4
Source: RefSeq, a predicted model, not a curated record